GUUUACACAAGUUACAGCUGGUCCUGAGUGCAGCAGCUCACCUCCUAACUAGAACCAGAACCAGAGAUCAUAGAACUCCUAUUUUAGCUUCACUUCAUCGGCUCCUGGUAAGUUUUAGAAUUGAUUUUUAAUAUUCAGAUCCAUCCAAUAACAUCAUUAAUAUCUAUUUGAUUAUUAGUAAGAACUAAACUGAGACAGCUGUUAGAAUAUAGAUUUCUUUAUUGAGUUCAUAUUUCAUAAACGUCCUUACAUCAAUUCUUACACCUGUAUUACUCCUCUUGAAUUUUUCACCCUUCUUUUUUCAUUCAUUGUGAUUUUUCUCUUUGAUUUGAGUUGUAAUGAUUUCUAAAGCAGGUUUGUUGGUUAAGAGGUGACGUUCACUUUCUCUUCUGUUUACAGUCUGCUGCUCCGGCUCCAGAUUUUCAUGUUUUCUGUCUUCACUUCUUUCUAAUCCUCCUCUCAGCUUGGCUCUGAUUUUUCUGUUUGUGUGUGAACCAGCCUGCAGUCUCGUGAG
Xyrichtys novacula (pearly razorfish) is the source of this 514-nucleotide non-coding RNA. Lineage: Eukaryota; Metazoa; Chordata; Actinopteri; Labriformes; Labridae. The record is from the annotation of a GenBank genome assembly.